GAUGAACGCUGGCGGCGUGCCUAAUACAUGCAAGUCGAGCGAACAGACGAGGAGCUUGCCCCUCUGACGUUAGCGGCGGACGGGUGAGUAACACGUGGAUAACCUACCUAUAAGACUGGGAUAACUUCGGGAAACCGGAGCUAAUACCGGAUAAUAUAUUGAACCGCAUGGUUCAAUAGUGAAAGACGGUUUUGCUGUCACUUAUAGAUGGAUCCGCGCCGCAUUAGCUAGUUGGUAAGGUAACGGCUUAACAAGGCAACGAUGCGUAGCCGACCUGAGAGGGUGAUCGGCCACACUGGAACUGAGACACGGUCCAGACUCCUACGGGAGGAAGCAGUAGGGAAUCUUCCGCAAUGGGGGAAAGCCUGACGGAGCAACGCCGCGUGAGUGAUGAAGGUCUUCGGAUCGUAAAACUCUGUUAUUAGGGAAGAACAAAUGUGUAAGUACCCAUGCACGUCUUGACGGUACCUAAUCAGAAAGCCACGGCUAACUACGUG
This 497-nucleotide ribosomal RNA is filed under the name uncultured bacterium. RNAcentral describes it as "partial 16S ribosomal RNA". It matches the Rfam family "Bacterial small subunit ribosomal RNA", at positions 28 to 507 of the family's 1533-position model. The record is from RNAcentral.